RNAcentral lists this ribosomal RNA (116 nucleotides) under Anolis carolinensis (green anole). The record is from RNAcentral. Lineage: Eukaryota; Metazoa; Chordata; Lepidosauria; Squamata; Anolidae.
UUCUAUGAUUCUACCCUAAGAGCACCAGAUCCCAUCUGAUCUAGGAAGCUAAGCAGGAUUAGACCUGGUUAACAGUUGGAUGGGAAGGUACAAAGGAAUACCAGGUGCUGUAGGUU